RNAcentral lists this long non-coding RNA (551 nucleotides) under Gossypium raimondii (Peruvian cotton). RNAcentral's name for it is "long non-coding RNA (GRAI_LNC004304)". The record is from RNAcentral. Lineage: Eukaryota; Viridiplantae; Streptophyta; Magnoliopsida; Malvales; Malvaceae.
UUUUGCCUUCAAUCGGGCCUUGGAGCGGGAACUAAAUCGCCCUUUUGCACAAUGCCGACCACCAUGCAUGGUGGCGCUACGGCGGCGCUGAGAGGGCUCAAAGUUUGGACGUUUGAGAGGGGGAGGAGAAGGGUUUUCUUUUUUUUGUUUUGUUUUUUUUAAAAAAAAGGGUUGUUGAAAUUUUUUUUGAAAGAAUUUGGGUUUAAAUAACCCCCUAAAACGGUGCCGUUUGGGCUUAGGGUUUAGAGACCGAAAACGGCGUCGUUUUGGUCUCUAACUCGCGCGGUGACCCAAUCCAGGGGGAGCAUCCGCGUGUUUUCUUUAAAUGGGAUAAUUGCGCGCGCAGUCCCUCGACUCUGCAGCGCACUUCAAUUCGGCCCCUUUUCGCUAUUUUCUUUUAUUUUUAAUUUAGCCCUGUAAUUUUAUCUUUGUUACAAUACGAUCCGUUUCAACGCUGCGUUUUGGCGCUUUGGGAUAUUUACCGUUCUGGUCCCCCCUCUUUCAGCGCACGACACAAUUUAGUCCCUCUCGUUUUUUUAUUUCGAUUCCAC